AGUGAACGCUGGCGGUAGGCCUAACACAUGCAAGUCGAACGGCAGCACAGUAAGAGCUUGCUCUUACGGGUGGCGAGUGGCGUACGGGUGAGGAAUACAUCGUAAUCUACUUUUUCGUGGGGGAUAACGUAGGGAAACUUACGCUAAUACCGCAUACGACCUACGGGUUAAAGCAGGGGAUCUUCGGACCUUGCGCGAUUGAAUGAGCCGAUGUCGGAGUAGCUAGUUGGCGGGGUAAAGGCCCACCAAGGCGACGAUACGUAGCUGGUCUGAGAGGAUGAUCAGCCACACUGGAACUGAGACACGGUCCAGACUCCUACGGGAGGCAGCAGUGGGGAAUGUUGGACAAUGGGCGCAAGCCUGAUCCAGCCAUACCGCGUGGGUGAAGAAGGCCUUCGGGUUGUAAAGCCCUUUUGUUGGGAAAGAAAAGCAGCAGGUUAAUACCCCGCUGUUCUGACGGUACCCAAAGAAUAAGCACCGGCUAACUUCGUG
This 492-nucleotide ribosomal RNA is filed under the name uncultured bacterium. RNAcentral's name for it is "partial 16S ribosomal RNA". It matches the Rfam family "Bacterial small subunit ribosomal RNA", at positions 29 to 507 of the family's 1533-position model. The record is from RNAcentral.